RNAcentral lists this ribosomal RNA (623 nucleotides) under uncultured Bacteroidota bacterium. RNAcentral's name for it is "bacterial SSU rRNA". It matches the Rfam family "Bacterial small subunit ribosomal RNA", at positions 8 to 630 of the family's 1533-position model. The record is from RNAcentral. Lineage: Bacteria; Pseudomonadati; Bacteroidota.
AGAGUUUGAUCAUGGCUCAGGAUGAACGCUAGCGGCAGGCCUAAUACAUGCAAGUCGAACGAGAUUUAUGACUUCGGUUAUAAUGAAAGUGGCGCACGGGUGCGUAACGCGUAUGCAACCUACCCUUUACUGGGGGAUAGCCCGGAGAAAUUCGGAUUAAUACCCCAUGGUAUUUACAGAUGGCAUCUGAAGUAAAUUAAAGAUUUAUCGGUAAGGGAUGGGCAUGCGUGACAUUAGCUAGUUGGUGAGGUAACGGCUCACCAAGGCAACGAUGUCUAGGGGUUCUGAGAGGAUGAUCCCCCACACUGGUACUGAGAUACGGACCAGACUCCUACGGGAGGCAGCAGUAGGGAAUAUUGGUCAAUGGGCGAGAGCCUGAACCAGCCAUGCCGCGUGCAGGAAGACAGCUUUCUGAGUUGUAAACUGCUUUUAUAUGGGAAGAAAAAGGUCCUGCGGGACAAAUUGCCGGUACCAUAUGAAUAAGCACCGGCUAACUCCGUGCCAGCAGCCGCGGUAAUACGGAGGGUGCAAGCGUUGUCCGGAUUUAUUGGGUUUAAAGGGUGCGUAGGCGGAUCUUUAAGUCAGUGGUGAAAUCCUGCAGCUUACUGUAGAACUGCCAUUGA